Molecule: ribosomal RNA, 301 nt
Filed under: uncultured bacterium
Lineage: Bacteria
Description: partial 16S ribosomal RNA
Rfam family: Bacterial small subunit ribosomal RNA
Source: RNAcentral
CAGUCGCCGCGGGAAUACGGAAGGUCCAGGCGUUAUCCGGAUUUAUUGGGUUUAAAGGGAGCGUAGGCGGAUUAUUAAGUCAGUGGUGAAAGACGGUGGCUCAACCAUCGUUAGCCAUUGAAACUGGUAGUCUUGAGUGCAGACAGGGAUGCUGGAACUCGUGGUGUAGCGGUGAAAUGCUUAGAUAUCACGAUGAACUCCGAUCGCGAAGGCAGGUGUCCGGGCUGCAACUGACGCUGAGGCUCGAAAGUGUGGGUGUCAAACAGGAUUAGAUACCCCCGUAGUCCCUGUCUCUUAUACC